AUAUUGGACAAUGGGCGCAAGCCUGAUCCAGCCAUGCCGCGUGAGUGAAGAAGGCCUUCGGGUUGUAAAGCUCUUUUGUUGGGAAAGAAAAGCAGCCGGCCAAUACCCGGUUGUCCUGACGGUACCCAAAGAAUAAGCACCGGCUAACUUCGUGCCAGCAGCCGCGGUAAUACGAAGGGUGCAAGCGUUACUCGGAAUUACUGGGCGUAAAGCGUGCGUAGGUGGUGGUUUAAGUCUGAUGUGAAAGCCCUGGGCUCAACCUGGGAAUGGCAUUGGAAACUGGAUCACUGGAGUGCGGUAGAGGAUGGCGGAAUUCCCGGUGUAGCAGUGAAAUGCGUAGAGAUCGGGAGGAACAUCCGUGGCGAAGGCGGCCAUCUGGACCAGCACUGACACUGAGGCACGAAAGCGUGGGGAGCAAACAGG
This 423-nucleotide ribosomal RNA is filed under the name uncultured bacterium. RNAcentral describes it as "bacterial SSU rRNA". It matches the Rfam family "Bacterial small subunit ribosomal RNA", at positions 361 to 776 of the family's 1533-position model. The record is from RNAcentral.